GCCUGCUUUGGUAGGACAUAUACUAAACUAAGAAUGACACACACAAGAUUAGCAUGGCUCUUGUGCAAGGAUGACCAGUAAAUUCAUGAAGCAUUCCAUGUUUUU
This is a small nuclear RNA of Oryctolagus cuniculus (rabbit), 105 nucleotides long. Lineage: Eukaryota; Metazoa; Chordata; Mammalia; Lagomorpha; Leporidae. The record is from Ensembl.